RNAcentral lists this ribosomal RNA (714 nucleotides) under uncultured bacterium. RNAcentral's name for it is "bacterial SSU rRNA". It matches the Rfam family "Bacterial small subunit ribosomal RNA", at positions 59 to 774 of the family's 1533-position model. The record is from RNAcentral.
CAGUCGAACGGGAAUUACUUUAUUGAAACUUCGGUCGAUUUAAUUUAAUUCCAGUGGCGGACGGGUGAGUAACGCGUGGGUAACCUGCCUUAUACAGGGGGAUAACAGUCAGAAAUGGCUGCUAAUACCGCAUAAGCGCACAGAGCUGCAUGGCUCGGUGUGAAAAACUCCGGUGGUAUAAGAUGGACCCGCGUUGGAUUAGCUUGUUGGUGGGGUAACGGCCCACCAAGGCGACGAUCCAUAGCCGGCCUGAGAGGGUGAACGGCCACAUUGGGACUGAGACACGGCCCAGACUCCUACGGGAGGCAGCAGUGGGGAAUAUUGCACAAUGGGGGAAACCCUGAUGCAGCGACGCCGCGUGAAGGAAGAAGUAUCUCGGUAUGUAAACUUCUAUCAGCAGGGAAGAUAGUGACGGUACCUGACUAAGAAGCCCCGGCUAACUACGUGCCAGCAGCCGCGGUAAUACGUAGGGGGCAAGCGUUAUCCGGAUUUACUGGGUGUAAAGGGAGCGUAGACGGUGUGGCAAGUCUGAUGUGAAAGGCAUGGGCUCAACCUGUGGACUGCAUUGGAAACUGUCAUACUUGAGUGCCGGAGGGGUAAGCGGAAUUCCUAGUGUAGCGGUGAAAUGCGUAGAUAUUAGGAGGAACACCAGUGGCGAAGGCGGCUUACUGGACGGUAACUGACGUUGAGGCUCGAAAGCGUGGGGAGCAAACA